Molecule: ribosomal RNA, 568 nt
Filed under: endosymbiont of Formica fusca
Lineage: Bacteria; Pseudomonadati; Pseudomonadota; Gammaproteobacteria; Enterobacterales; Enterobacteriaceae
Description: bacterial SSU rRNA
Rfam family: Bacterial small subunit ribosomal RNA
Source: RNAcentral
UCGACUUGGAGGUUGUGCCCUUGAGGCGUGGCUUCCGGAGCUAACGCGUUAAGUCGACCGCCUGGGGAGUACGGCCGCAAGGUUAAAACUCAAAUGAAUUGACGGGGGCCCGCACAAGCGGUGGAGCAUGUGGUUUAAUUCGAUGCAACGCGAAGAACCUUACCUACUCUUGACAUCCAGAGAACUUACCAGAGAUGCUUUGGUGCCUUCGGGAACUCUGAGACAGGUGCUGCAUGGCUGUCGUCAGCUCGUGUUGUGAAAUGUUGGGUUAAGUCCCGCAACGAGCGCAACCCUUAUCCUUUGUUGCCAGCGGUUCGGCCGGGAACUCAAAGGAGACUGCCAGUGAUAAACUGGAGGAAGGUGGGGAUGACGUCAAGUCAUCAUGGCCCUUACGAGUAGGGCUACACACGUGCUACAAUGGCGCAUACAAAGAGAAGCGACCUCGCGAGAGCAAGCGGACCUCAUAAAGUGCGUCGUAGUCCGGAUUGGAGUCUGCAACUCGACUCCAUGAAGUCGGAAUCGCUAGUAAUCGUGGAUCAGAAUGCCACGGUGAAUACGUUCCCGGGCC